GCCGGGCGUGGUGGCGGGCGCCUGUAAUCCCAGCUACUCAGGAGGCUGAGGCAGGAGAAUGGCGUGAACCCGGGAGGCGGAGCUUGCAGUGAGCCGAGAUCGUGCCACUGCACUCCAGCCUGGGUGACAGAGCAAGACUCUGCCUCAA
RNAcentral lists this small RNA (148 nucleotides) under Pongo abelii (Sumatran orangutan). Its description in RNAcentral is "Metazoan signal recognition particle RNA (ENSPPYG00000041201.1)". The record is from Rfam by way of RNAcentral. Lineage: Eukaryota; Metazoa; Chordata; Mammalia; Primates; Hominidae.